ACCCCGUGAGGGGAGUGAAAUAGUACCUGAAACCGUGUGCUUACAAGCAGUCACAGCCCUAUGCAUGGUCCUUCGGGAUCUGAAUGGGUGGUGGCGUGCCUAUUGUAGCAUGAUCCUGCGACUUACUAGCAGUGCCAAGUUUAAGCCGUUUAGGCGAAGGCGUAGCGAAAGCGAGUCUUAAUAGGGCGACAAAGGCGCUGUUAGUAGACCCGAAACCGGAUGAGCUAGCCAUGGCCAGGUUGAAGCUUCCGUAACAGGAAGUGGAGGACCGAACCCGUUGAGGUUUAAAACUCUUGGGAUGAGCUGUGGUUAGGAGUGAAAAGCUAACCGAAUCCGGAGAUAGCUGGUUCUCCCCGAAAUAGCUUUAGGGCUAGCCUCGGGGGUUUACCAAUGGCUGUAAAGCACUGAUUGGGCUAGGGGGCCUACCAGCUUACCAAACCCUGUCAAACUCUGAAUGCUAUUGGUCCAUACCCCGGGAGUCAGUCUAUGGGAGCUAACUUUCAUAGACGAGAGGGAAACAACCCAGACCGCCAGUUAAGGUCCCAAAAUCGUGACUAAGUGGAGAAGGAUGUGGAGAUGCAAAGACAGCUAGGAGGUUGGCUUAGAAGCAGCCAUUCCUUGAAAGAGUGCGUAAUAGCUCACUAGUCGAGCGUCUCUGCGCCGAAGAUGAUCGGGGCUAAGUCAUGUACCGAAUCUGCGGCAGGGCGGAACUUUAGGGUUCCGCACUGGGUAGGGGAGCGUUCCGUAGGCCGUUGAAGCGCUACCGUAAGGAGGCGUGGAGGUAUCGGAAGUGCGAAUGCAGGAAUGAGUAACGAUAAGAAGGGUGAGAAUCCCUUCCGCCGAAAGCCUAAGGGUUCCUGAGCAAGGGUCGUCCUCUCAGGGUUAGGCGGGACCUAAGGCGAGGCCGAAAGGCGUAGUCGAUGGACAGCAGGUUAAUAUUCCUGCCCCACUUUCGUGGAGUGAUGGGGUGACGCAUUAGGAUAGGCCAACCGGAGCCAUGGCUGAGCCCGGCGGCGUACGAAGCUCGGAGGGAUAGGAAAAUCCGCCCUCCACAUAGAGUGACGUACGUCGGGAAGGCCCUACGGGGCUGAUAACUGGUUGAAUCCACGGUGCCAAGAAAAACCUCUAAAUGUUGAAGCGAGAGUGCCCGUACCAAAACCGACACAGGUGGGCGAGUGUAAGAGCACUAAGGCGCGCGAGAGAACUCUGGUUAAGGAACUCUGCAAAAUGGCCCCGUAACUUCGGGAGAAGGGGUCCCGCGUGUAGGGUUAGCAAUUAUGCAAAGCCCGAAGCGGGCACAGUGAAUUGGCUCUAGCGACUGUUUACCACAAUCACAGCACUCUGCAAACCCGAGUAGGGGAAGUAUAGGGUGUGACACCUGCCCGGUGCCGGAAGGUUAAGGGGAGCGGUGCAAGCUGCGAACUGAAGCCCCGGUGAACGGCGGCGGUAACUAUAACCGUCCUAAGGUAGCGAAAUUCCUUGUCAGGUAAGUUCUGACCUGCACGAAUGGUGUAACGACUGGAGCGCUGUCUCAACCAGAGACUCGGUGAAAUUGAAUUGGCUGUAUAGAUGCGGCCUACCCGCAGCAGGACGAAAAGACCCCGUGGAGCUUUACUACAGCUUGGUAUUGGCGUUUGGAUUGAUCUGUGUAGGAUAGGUGGGAGACUGUGAAGCGUGGCCGUUAGGCUACGUGGAGUCAAUGGUGAAAUACCACCCUGAUUAGUUCGCACGUCUAACCUUCGUCCGUUAUCCGGACGGGGGACAGUGCUAGGUGGGUAGUUUGACUGGGGCGGUCGCCUCCUAAAGUGUAACGGAGGCGCACAAUGGUUCCCUCAGCACGGUCGGAAAUCGUGCAUAGAGCGUAAGGGUAUAAGGGAGCUUGACUGCGAGACGUACAUGUCGAGCAGGUACGAAAGUAGGUCCUAGUGAACCGGUGGUUCCUUGUGGAAGGGCCAUCGAUCAACGGAUAAAAGUUACCCCGGGGAUAACAGGCUGAUACCGCCCGAGAGUUCACAUCGGCGGCGGUGUUUGGCACCUCGAUGUCGGCUCGUCUUAUCCUGGGGCUGGAGAAGGUCCCAAGGGUCCGGCUGUUCGCCGGUUAAAAAGGCACGCGAGCUGGGUUCAGAACGUCGUGAGACAGUUCGGUCUCUAUCCGCUGUGGGCGUAGGAAAGCUGAGGAGAGCUGUUCCUAGUACGAGAGGACCGGAAUGGACACACCUCUAGUGUCUUAGCUGUCGCACCAGCGGCAUAUGUUAAGUAGCUAUGUGUGGAACGGAUAAGCGCUGAAAGCAUCUAAGCGCGAAGCCGACUCCAAGAUGAGCUUUCCCACCUCCUUGU
This 2337-nucleotide ribosomal RNA is filed under the name marine metagenome. Its description in RNAcentral is "bacterial LSU rRNA". It matches the Rfam family "Bacterial large subunit ribosomal RNA", at positions 523 to 2823 of the family's 2925-position model. The record is from RNAcentral.